RNAcentral lists this ribosomal RNA (330 nucleotides) under uncultured eukaryote. Its description in RNAcentral is "partial 18S ribosomal RNA". It matches the Rfam family "Eukaryotic small subunit ribosomal RNA", at positions 1470 to 1796 of the family's 1831-position model. The record is from RNAcentral.
CCCUUAGAUGUUCGGGGCCGCACGCGCGCUACACUGAAGGAAUCAGCACGUCUUUCUCCUUGUCCGAAAGGACUGGGUAACCCGCUGAACCUCCUUCGUGCUAGGGAUUGGGGCUUGUAAUUCUUCCCCAUGAACGAGGAAUUCCCAGUAAGCGCGAGUCAUAAGCUCGCGUUGAUUACGUCCCUGCCCUUUGUACACACCGCCCGUCGCUACUACCGAUUGGAUGGUUUAGUGAGAUCCUCGGAUUGAUCCCGGCGCGGCCUCUGGUCGUGCCGGAGUGCCGAAAAGAAUGUCGAACUUGAUCAUCUAGAGGAAGUAAAAGUCGUAACA